This 463-nucleotide ribosomal RNA is filed under the name uncultured bacterium. Its description in RNAcentral is "partial 16S ribosomal RNA". It matches the Rfam family "Bacterial small subunit ribosomal RNA", at positions 28 to 507 of the family's 1533-position model. The record is from RNAcentral.
GAUGAACGCUGACAGAAUGCUUAACACAUGCAAGUCGAUGGGGAAGUGGUGCUUGCACCUUGGUAACCAUGGCGGACGGGUGAGUAACGCGUAAGGAACUUACCUGCGGUACCGGGAUAACAGCAGGAAACUGCUUUCAUGCCCGGAUAAGGUCAUUAAGCUGCAUAGCUUAGUGAUGAAAGGAGACGCCUGCGGAGAGCCUUGCGUCCUAUUAGCUAGUUGGAGGGGUAACGGCCCACCAAGGCGAGGAUAGGUAGCCGGCCUGAGAGGGUGGACGGCCACAAGGGGACUGAGAUACGGCACUUACUCCUACGGGAGGAAGCAGUGGGGAAUAUUGGACAAAGGGGGCAAGCCUGAUCCAGGAAUUCUGUGUGCACGAAGACGGUUUUCGGAUAGAAAAGUGCUUUCAGCAGGGAAGAAGGAAGUGACGGUACCGGCAGAAGAAGCGACGGCUAAAUACGUG